Molecule: ribosomal RNA, 468 nt
Filed under: uncultured bacterium
Lineage: Bacteria
Description: partial 16S ribosomal RNA
Rfam family: Bacterial small subunit ribosomal RNA
Source: RNAcentral
GACGAACGCUGGCGGCGUGCUUAACACAUGCAAGUCGAACGGAAAGGCCCUGCUUUUGUGGGGUGCUCGAGUGGCGAACGGGUGAGUAACACGUGAGUAACCUGCCCUUGACUUUGGGAUAACUUCAGGAAACUGGGGCUAAUACCGGAUAGGAGCUCCUGCUGCAUGGUGGGGGUUGGAAAGUUUCGGCGGUUGGGGAUGGACUCGCGGCUUAUCAGCUUGUUGGUGGGGUAGUGGCUUACCAAGGCUUUGACGGGUAGCCGGCCUGGGAGGGUGACCGGCCACAUUGGGACUGCGGUAGGGCCCAGACUCCUACGGGGGGCAGCAGUGGGGAAUCUUGCACAAUGGGCGGAAGCCUAAUGCAGCAACGCCGCGUGCGGGAUGACGGCCUUCGGGUUGUAAACCGCUUUCGCCUGUGACGAAGCGUGAGUGACGGUAAUGGGUAAAGAAGCACCGGCUAACUACGUG